Molecule: ribosomal RNA, 253 nt
Filed under: uncultured bacterium
Lineage: Bacteria
Description: partial 16S ribosomal RNA
Rfam family: Bacterial small subunit ribosomal RNA
Source: RNAcentral
UACGUAGGGGGCAAGCGUUGUCCGGAUUUAUUGGGCGUAAAGAGCGUGUAGGCGGCCUGAAAGGUCAGCUGUGAAAACUCGAGGCUUAACCUCGAGACGUCGGUUGAAACCAUCUGGCUAGAGUCCGGAAGAGGAGUGUGGAAUUCCAGGUGUAGCGGUGAAAUGCGUAGAUAUCUGGAGGAACACCGGUGGCGAAGGCGGCAUCCUGGACCAACACUGACACUGAGGAGCGAAAGCCAGGGGAGCAAACGGG